AGAGUUUGAUCCUGGCUCAGGAUGAACGCUGGCGGCGUGCCUAAUACAUGCAAGUCGAACGCGUUGGCCCAACUGAUUGAACGUGCUUGCACGGACUUGACGUUGGUUUACCAACGAGUGGCGGACGGGUGAGUAACACGUAGGUAACCUGCCCCAAAGCGGGGGAUAACAUUUGGAAACAGAUGCUAAUACCGCAUAACAGUUUGAAUCGCAUGAUUCAAGCUUAAAAGAUGGUUUCGGCUAUCACUUUGGGAUGGACCUGCGGCGCAUUAGCUUGUUGGUAGGGUAACGGCCUACCAAGGCUGUGAUGCGUAGCCGAGUUGAGAGACUGAUCGGCCACAAUGGAACUGAGACACGGUCCAUACUCCUACGGGAGGCAGCAGUAGGGAAUCUUCCACAAUGGGCGCAAGCCUGAUGGAGCAACACCGCGUGAGUGAAGAAGGGUUUCGGCUCGUAAAGCUCUGUUGUUAGAGAAGAACGUGCGUGAGAGCAACUGUUCACGCAGUGACGGUAUCUAACCAGAAAGUCACGGCUAACUACGUGCCAGCAGCCGCGGUAAUACGUAGGUGGCAAGCGUUAUCCGGAUUUAUUGGGCGUAAAGCGAGCGCAGGCGGUUUGAUAAGUCUGAUGUGAAAGCCUUUGGCUUAACCAAAGAAGUGCAUCGGAAACUGUCAGACUUGAGUGCAGAAGAGGGCAGUGGAACUCCAUGUGUAGCGGUGGAAUGCGUAGAUAUAUGGAAGAACACCAGUGGCGAAGGCGGCUGCCUGGUCUGUAACUGACGCUGAGGCUCGAAAGCAUGGGUAGCGAACAGGAUUAGAUACCCUGGUAGUCCACGCCGU
This 839-nucleotide ribosomal RNA is filed under the name human gut metagenome. Its description in RNAcentral is "bacterial SSU rRNA". It matches the Rfam family "Bacterial small subunit ribosomal RNA", at positions 8 to 803 of the family's 1533-position model. The record is from RNAcentral.